Molecule: long non-coding RNA, 1121 nt
Organism: Glycine soja
Lineage: Eukaryota; Viridiplantae; Streptophyta; Magnoliopsida; Fabales; Fabaceae
Exons: 2
Source: RefSeq, a predicted model, not a curated record
AAAAGGAGAAGAGAGCAAAUUUUUGCCAGAAAAAGAAAAUCUGUGACUAUGAUACACACCUUCAUCUGUCACACCCCAUUCUCCUUUGCACCUUUCUUCCACUAGAAUAUUUCUUGGAUUCACUUUCCUGUCGGUGACUCUCAUGGGGACAAUGACCCAUCAUCAUGUCUAUGAAUUUCUCUUUCUUGAAAAACAUAAACGUUUCAAUAAAACAAAUAAACAAUUAAUUAAUCUCUCUCAGUCUUUUUUUUUCUAAUUUCUUUUUCUCAUGGUCACUCAUCACAACCUGCGAGUCCUUUUUCGUCUUUACAGUUUUCAUGUCUUUAUAACUCUGGUUGUCUUUGCUUCUCCUCAGCGCAGGAAUCUAUAAAACAAUACCAGAAUUAGGGUUUCUGGUAGCACCUGCUUUUGAGUUUUUAGCUCUAAUGAGGAAGAAGGAAAAAUGUACAUGUGCAGUUGUUCUAUUACAGCAUAGCCUAGUCACAUUGGGAGGGAAAGAGAGUGAAGGAGCUUCCCUCAGCCCAUUCAUGGAGAUAACGAAAGAUUGGGUUGCUGAAUUAACUGCUAGCUCACACAUUCAUUCAUACAAUAGUAUUCAAUUAGGGUAAUAUUGUGUGAAUGAAGCGGGAGUAUAUAGUAUCUAUAUUGGAACCCUCUUUCUCUGUGCUUGGACUGAAGGGAGCUCCUUCUUUUUCUGCUCCCUCCAUUUGUAUCAUCCAUGUCUCAAAGGGCUUUAUGCAUAUUGUCUAAAGCUUAAUCUACAUAAUAUGAUGCUCAGCACAAAAAAAGGUGAGGCCUGUACACUGUAUCUGAUGCUACAUGACUUCGUCUUGUAGCUCUUUGUAAGUAUUUACUCUUUAUCACAACUGCCAAAGAUUCAGCAAACAUAUCUGAACAGUUUGCAUGAGUUUAAUAGCCUGGUCAUCCCCACACUUGGUACUAUUUUUACAUGAAAAUCAUGAUCUCCAAUACAUCUAUAUACAUGUAUAAAUCUUACAAUACAGUACAUGUACACAUAAUGCAGUAUAUAGCACUUGCAUAUAAAUUUAUGUCACUAUUUUAUACGCAUGUUAAUUUCUUUCAUUAGUAGAUAAUGAUACAGUAUGCUACUUUGCUUCGAA